GGAAGAGAAAGAGAAGUCGAUUCCGUAAGUAGCGGCGAGCGAAAGCGGAGGAGCCCAAACCGGACACAGUCCGGGGUUGUAGGACCGCCGGUAAAGAUGACAUGAAGAGUCAGGAGAAUCCCAUGGGAAGGGGAUCCGAAGAGGGUGAGAGACCCGUAUCCGAAGGCUCGACAUGGAUCGAGGCGGCACCUGAGUACGGCGGGGCACGUGGAAUCCUGCCGGAAUCAUCGGGGACCAUCCCGAAAGGCUAAACACUACUCUGUGACCGAUAGCGAACCAGUACCGUGAGGGAAAG
Molecule: ribosomal RNA, 295 nt
Filed under: Bicosoecida sp. CB-2014
Lineage: Eukaryota; Bigyra; Bicosoecida
Description: partial Bacterial large subunit ribosomal RNA
Rfam family: Bacterial large subunit ribosomal RNA
Source: RNAcentral